GACAGAGGGUGCAAACGUUGUUCGGAUUUACUGGGCGUAAAGCGCGUGUAGGCGGCUUUGCAAGUCGGAUGUGAAAGCCCACGGCUCAACCGUGGAAGUGCAUCCGAAACUGCAUGGCUUGAGUCUCGGAGAGGAAGGUGGAAUGCUUGGUGUAGAGGUGAAAUUCGUAGAUAUCAAGCAGAACACCUGCGGCGAAGGCGGCCUUCUGGACGAUGACUGACGCUGAGACGCGAAAGCGUGGGGAGCGAACGGG
RNAcentral lists this ribosomal RNA (253 nucleotides) under uncultured bacterium. RNAcentral describes it as "partial 16S ribosomal RNA". It matches the Rfam family "Bacterial small subunit ribosomal RNA", at positions 524 to 776 of the family's 1533-position model. The record is from RNAcentral.